This 1799-nucleotide long non-coding RNA is filed under the name Nicotiana benthamiana. RNAcentral's name for it is "long non-coding RNA (NBEN_LNC011440)". Lineage: Eukaryota; Viridiplantae; Streptophyta; Magnoliopsida; Solanales; Solanaceae. The record is from RNAcentral.
ACACCCUUUUUUUAAACAAACUCUACUAAACCCUCUUAAAUUAAUAAAAAGAUUUUAUAAAACUUGAAAAUGGUUUUCAAUUUUGAAAGUAACAAAAAUUAUGUCUCAAAAGGAUAUAAACUCAUAGUCGCCACCUGACAUUUGAUUUUGGUUUGCCAGGUCACCGUUUUUGUAAAAAAUAUUUAUUUUUCCUUUUAAAACGUUUCAGACUCUAAAACCAAGUCCACACCAGAGGUUCAAGUAAGGGGAUUCAUUUGACUCGGGGAGAAGGUGUUAGGCACUCCCCAAGUCCCGUAACUAGUACAAUUGCGUACUCGAUCAAGUUGGCUUUUAAAAUAUUUAGUUGAGGUAAAAACACAAAACAAAAACAAAAUAAAUACACAAGAGGCUAGAUGUCGUCCCCACCUACAAAGAUAAAAAUAAAUAAAGAAAAUAUUAGAAUUCUAUUCUAUGCUUCCUCACGUCAUUCAAGCUCUGGCCUUCAUUUACAUGUACUUCGGGGCAAUACCCCGGACAAAAUAUAUACAAAUCCUGCGAGGCAUUCCCGGUUAAAUUUAACUAAGGAAAUGACCUUUCGCCUCAAACUAACAAAUAUCCUAAGGCUUGACUACCCAAGUGUCGACGGCCUAGCAUGCUCCUAGCGAAUUAAUUAAAUAAAAUAGACUUAAAGGCAACGAAACCGCAACACGAGGCUAUCAAUUGUUCUUUGUCUUUCAAUUAAUUUGAUUCAUUUCAACUAAUUCAAAAGGAUCACAUAUUGAAUCUUUCUACAAUGUACCGUAUACAUUUUUCAUUUUUUCAGUUAUCUUUCUAAUGAUUCCAGUAUUCAUCCGAACUUAUCAUGGAAUUGAAGUGAUGAACUAACUGAACAAACAAGAGACAAGCUGCAAAUAAUCAACUAGCACAGUGGGAUGAAGUAAAAUGGGUAUAAGAAAGGAACCUCGAUAUUAGAUUUGCAAUUCGAAUGUUAGGAUGAGUUUGACAUUCAUAAGGGGAUAAAAUUGCGACCAAAUCAGCACGGAAAACCCCGCGACAAACUGAUUUUGAACAGCCACACCUCAGUUGAGCUCGAACCAACAACCCAAUUUCGCCAAGGUAAACUUAAUUGCCUUUAAUGUUUGUACUCAAUUUAAACGGAGGUUCUCAUAUUGGAACAAAGCUUGGAGCAAAAUGAUUAAACUCAAAGCCAACGUACAAGGAAAUUGAUUCCAACAAACAGAGACCAAACUCCAACCGUCGACCUCCAACAGGACUUCGCCGGCGACCUCGAAAUCAUCCUUUUCACGUCCAGAUCUGAACAACAAAACCCUCCAAUUCGGGUGGAGAUUGGCUGAUUUGUGUGACUGUGCGGAUUGGUUUUCAAGUGGUUUAUAAACCGGCGACCUCGAAAUCAUCCUUUUCACGUCCAGAUCUGAACAACAAAACCCUCCAAUUCGGGUGGAGAUUGGCUGAUUUGUGUGACUGUGCGGAUUGGUUUUCAGGUGGUUUAUAAACAGGUUUUCAAAUCUGGUUUGCGUUAAUUUUGGACGGCUACCUUUCGUGAAGAAGAAACCUGCUCGGAAUUGAUUCGUGAAGAAGAAAGCUGCUAGGAGUUAGAUUCUUUGAUUUUUUGUCUCUUCUCCUAUCAAAGAAAACGACGGAUCCUAGUUUUUUAGGUGUAAAAAUGUACUGCCAUUUUUAGAAAACGGCGGAUUCAAUGGGCUUUUAAGGUGUAUGUUCCUCCAUUGUUGUUUUCUUGAUAUGGUGAUGAAGGACGUGAUAUAUUAAGCUUAGGAAGAAAGAGUCACGGGUUGUCUUUU